RNAcentral lists this long non-coding RNA (1172 nucleotides) under Triticum aestivum (bread wheat). RNAcentral describes it as "long non-coding RNA (TAES_LNC011966)". Lineage: Eukaryota; Viridiplantae; Streptophyta; Magnoliopsida; Poales; Poaceae. The record is from RNAcentral.
CAUUUCUCAACCCACAAAUGUAAACUAUAGUAUGCGAAAGAUUUCCUAUCAUUGAACCCAUGUAACACCCCUUUUCAUGUUCACUAGAAUGUGCCCCUCGGAUCUUUCUUGCAUCAAUAUGUCAUAUUUGCAUCUCAAUUCCUCAUAAGCAAAAGCAUCCGAAUCAACUCAACCACUGAACCUCUCAAUCUACAAGAAAAAAAAUCAGUUACGACUACAUUAAGUAUAUCGUGAAGUUAAUUUAACAAAACCCAAGAAGUUAAAUAUUGAGUUAUACAUGAUGAAGGCCAAGCAAUUGUUAAUCCAGAGGUGAAAGCAUCGCCAAUUGUCCUACAAUUUUCCCUUUCCCUUACCAAGACCUGACAUUCCUCAAUAGGUGAUCAACUUGCACUUCUAUGAACUGCCGACCUAGCUCAAUACCACCAACCAUUUUUUUUAAUUGCAACCCAAAAUGCUAGCAUGUGCUACAUGCCUUUUGUUUGGAUAUACUGAAGACUUCAGAAUCACUUUUGUGCCAACCUGAAAUGAGGUUCAAAUUAUAAUAUAUAGUAAUAAAAACCAAUUUUGUGAACACGAAUCUAGUAUUAACACACUAUUUUUGUUACCUCCAUGGAAGGAGUGCGUUUCUGCUUAGAGGGCACAUGGACUACAGACUUGUCUUGAGUGCUUUGUUUGUGUACUCUUGGCAAAUUUCCAUCCAUAGUCUUCCUGCUCUUUCUCAUCUACAGAUAAACAUAAGAGGAAAAAUAAUUUAUCCUUGUGAUUUUGCAAUGCAAAGUUCACACCACAUUUUAUUCAUCAAAUAUUACGUGUGGCAACAUCAUUUUAUAACCUCAGGAGAGUCCAUUCCAUGCAAAUCAAACAUAAAAUGCAGAAACUCAUUCAUUCAACAUUAUACAGACAAAUAUGAGUCAGUAGGAUGAAUAUUGGAUUGCACUUGAAUGAAAAAUCUCUAGUACAACAUGAUAUUUUAACUAAAUGUGCGUGAAUAACAAAUCACGCCAUCAAUAAUUCAUAUGGAAAAUGUUUUCGAUUACUUACUAGGAAGCAGAUUUCUUAAGAGAUAACCAUUACCUCUCCAUCAAAAACAGGAUCGAAAACAGGAUGGGCUGGUGAUGAUGGUGCUUGAUAUGACAAUUUAUUGCAGCCCUCAUUUUCAAGAUGAUGCUUCU